GCCGGUCCCCUGGGCGCAGCCUGAUCAGCCAUGCCGCGUGAGUGAUGAAGGCCUUCGGGUUGUAAACCUCUUUCGGCCGGAACGAACUCGUCCCUGCCAAUACCCCGUGUGGAUGACGGUACCGGAAGAAAAAGCCCCGGCUAAAUUCCUGCCCGCCGCCGCGGUAAUUA
RNAcentral lists this ribosomal RNA (170 nucleotides) under uncultured ammonia-oxidizing bacterium. Its description in RNAcentral is "partial 16S ribosomal RNA". It matches the Rfam family "Bacterial small subunit ribosomal RNA", at positions 354 to 526 of the family's 1533-position model. The record is from RNAcentral.